Molecule: ribosomal RNA, 253 nt
Filed under: uncultured bacterium
Lineage: Bacteria
Description: partial 16S ribosomal RNA
Rfam family: Bacterial small subunit ribosomal RNA
Source: RNAcentral
UACGUAGGGGGCAAGCGUUGUUCGGAAUCACUGGGCUUAAAGGGCGCGUAGGCGGCUCGCGAGGUCGGGGGUGAAAUCCCACAGCUUAACUGUGGAAGUGCCUUCGAUACCGGCGGGCUGGAGGAAGGUAGGGGUGCGCGGAACUUCUGGUGGAGCGGUGAAAUGCGUUGAUAUCAGAAGGAACGCCGGCGACGAAAGCGGCGCACUGGACCUUUUCUGACGCUGAUGCGCGAAAGCCAGGGGAGCAAACGGG